AGGACGAACGCUGGCGGCGUGCUUAACACAUGCAAGUCGAACGGGAGUAUUGAAGAAGCUUGCUUUAGAGAUACUUUAGUGGCGGACGGGUGAGUAACGCGUGAGGAGCUGUCCUAUGCAGGGGGACAACAGCUGGAAACGGCUGCUAAUACCCCAUAAGCCGAGAGGUAAAAGGAUCAAUCCGGCAGAGGAGGUACUCGCGUCCUAUCAGCUAGUAGGUGAGGUAACGGCUCACCUAGGCGAAGACGGGUAGCCGGCCUGAGAGGGCGAACGGCCACACUGGAACUGAGAUACGGUCCAGACUCCUACGGGAGGCAGCAGUGGGGAAUAUUGGGCAAUGGGGGGAAAAACCCCUGACCCAGCGACGCCGCGUGGGUGAAGAAAUCCUUCGGGAUGUAAAGCCCUGUUGUAUGGGAAGAGCGGAAGACGGUACCAUACGAGGAAGCCCCGGCAAACUACGUGCCAGCCGCAGC
Molecule: ribosomal RNA, 473 nt
Filed under: uncultured bacterium
Lineage: Bacteria
Description: bacterial SSU rRNA
Rfam family: Bacterial small subunit ribosomal RNA
Source: RNAcentral